GUCUCAGUAGCAUAGUGGUUAAUGCACCGACCCGGUUAGGCGCGAGGCGCGGGUUCGAAUCCCGCAUGAGAUG
This 73-nucleotide transfer RNA is filed under the name Nippostrongylus brasiliensis. It matches the Rfam family "tRNA". Rfam says of the family: Transfer RNA (tRNA) molecules are approximately 80 nucleotides in length. Their secondary structure includes four short double-helical elements and three loops (D, anti-codon, and T loops). Lineage: Eukaryota; Metazoa; Nematoda; Chromadorea; Rhabditida; Heligmosomidae. The record is from Rfam by way of RNAcentral.